GACGAACGCUGGCGGCGUGCUUAACACAUGCAAGUCGAGCGGAAAACUUCGGUUUUCAGCGGCGGACGGGUGAGUAACACGUGGGCAACCUGCCUCACAAUGAGGGAUAGCCUUCCGAAAGGAAGAUUAAUACCUCAUAACACAAGAGAAACGCAUGUUUCUCUUGCCAAAGAAUUUCGUUGUGAGAUGGGCCCGCGGCGCAUUAGCUUGUUGGUGAGGUGACGGCUCACCAAAGCCUCGAUGCGUAGCCGACCUGAGAGGGUGAUCGGCCACAUUGGAACUGAGACACGGUCCAGACUCCUACGGGAGGCAGCAGUGGGGAAUAUUGCACAAUGGAGGAAACUCUGAUGCAGCAACGCCGCGUGAGUGAUGAAGGUCUUCGGAUUGUAAAACUCUGUCUUCUGGGACGAUAAUGACGGUACCAGAGGAGGAAGCCACGGCUAACUACGUGCGAGCAGCCGCCGCGG
Molecule: ribosomal RNA, 467 nt
Filed under: uncultured bacterium
Lineage: Bacteria
Description: partial 16S ribosomal RNA
Rfam family: Bacterial small subunit ribosomal RNA
Source: RNAcentral